Molecule: ribosomal RNA, 306 nt
Filed under: uncultured Bacillus sp.
Lineage: Bacteria; Bacillati; Bacillota; Bacilli; Caryophanales; Bacillaceae
Description: bacterial SSU rRNA
Rfam family: Bacterial small subunit ribosomal RNA
Source: RNAcentral
GGGUUAAGUCCCGCAACGAGCGCAACCCCUACGUUUAGUUGCUAACGCGUGAAGGCGAGCACUCUAGACGAACUGCCGUUGACAAAACGGAGGAAGGUGGGGAUGACGUCAAAUCAUCAUGCCCCUUAUGUUCUGGGCUACACACGUGCUACAAUGGCCGGUACAGACGGACGCAAAGCCGCGAGGUGGAGCAAAUCCUAAAAAGCCGGUCUCAGCUCGGAUUGCAGGCUGCAAUUCGCCUGCAUGAAGUCGGAAUCGCUAGUAAUCGCAGGUCAGCAUACUGCGGUGAAUACGUUCCCGGGCCUU